GCAUAACGCGAAGAACCUUACCUAGGCUUGACAUGCAUCUCUAAGCACGUGAAAGCGUGUGACCCUUCGGGGAAUUUGCACAGGUGCUGCAUGGCCGUCGUCAGCUCGUGUCGUGAGAUGUUGGGUUAAGUCCCGCAACGAGCGCAACCCUUGUGACUAAUUGCCAGCACGUUAUGGUGGGAACUCUAGUCAGACUGCCCAGAUCAACUGGGAGGAAGGUGGGGACGACGUCAGGUCAGUAUGGCCCUUACGCCUAGGGCUGCACACGUACUACAAUGCCCAGCACAAUGAGAACCGAGACCGCGAGGUGGAGGAAAUCUAAAAACUGGGCCCAGUUCGGAUUGGAGGCUGCAACUCGCCUCCAUGAAGUUGGAAUCGCUAGUAAUGGCGCAUCAUCUACGGCGCCGUGAAUACGUUCCCGGGUCUUGUACACACCG
Molecule: ribosomal RNA, 437 nt
Filed under: uncultured bacterium
Lineage: Bacteria
Description: bacterial SSU rRNA
Rfam family: Bacterial small subunit ribosomal RNA
Source: RNAcentral